RNAcentral lists this ribosomal RNA (460 nucleotides) under uncultured bacterium. Its description in RNAcentral is "partial 16S ribosomal RNA". It matches the Rfam family "Bacterial small subunit ribosomal RNA", at positions 338 to 795 of the family's 1533-position model. The record is from RNAcentral.
CCUACGGGAGGCAGCAGUGAGGAAUAUUGGUCAAUGGGCGCGAGACUGAACCAGCCAAGUAGCGUGAAGGAUGACGGCCCUACGGGUUGUAAACUUCUUUUAUAAAGGGAUAAAGUGAGGCACGUGUGACGUUUUGUAUGUACUUUAUGAAUAAGGAUCGGCUAACUCCGUGCCAGCAGCCGCGGUAAUACGGAGGAUCCGAGCGUUAUCCGGAUUUAUUGGGUUUAAAGGGAGCGUAGGUGGGUUGUUAAGUCAGUUGUGAAAGUUUGCGGCUCAACCGUAAAACUGCAGUGGAUACUGGCUGCCUUGAGUGCAGGUGAGGUAGGCGGAAUUCGUGGUGUAGCGGUGAAAUGCUUAGAUAUCACGAAGAACUCCGAUUGCGAAGGCAGCUUACUAAACUGCCACUGACAUUGAUGCUCGAAAGUGUGGGUAUCAAACAGGAUUAGAUACCCGUGUAGUC